UAUGGAUGGGAGUGAGGGUGUGUGUGGGGGAGGUCCUCCCAUACACACACCCUCACUCUCACCCUCUCUCACACACCCAACCUCCCACCUUUAAUGCGUGUGGAUGGGACUAAGGUUUUCUCAUUUCUUUCAGAUUGUGCGCCUCCGAGGUGAACGUCUGACUGAAGUGAACAUGUGGCUGGUCGAGAACUCCUCCAAACAGGUAAAGUACUUAUGACAAUAUAUAAUGUCUAUAUGCAAGUAUUUAUGAAUGUUAUGUUUUAAAGUUUUUUGUAUUCCAGGUUUGUUUGUGUGGCUGACUGGACCUACUACAAGGUGCUUCUUGCAGGUAAUAAAGAUACAUCAGUGAUGGUGAGGCCGUCACAUUACCAGCGGUUGUGGAUUUCACAAUUCAACCCUUAUAUUGCAGACUCCACAUAAGGUAAAACACUUCCAUUCAGCAAUUGGUGUGCAGUGUCCAGAUUGUCAACAUUUAGUUCAGUAUGAUGUUACUUCUGGCCAGCUUAACCUGAGGAGAAAGUCAGUACAGUACACGAUUAGAUUUUGAAAAGGAAACUGCAAAGUACGCAAGCUAUUGAUUUUUAAUAAUUUAAACAAGUGAAAUUUUUUCUAGCUUAACUUUCUGAAUUCAU
Homarus americanus (American lobster) is the source of this 632-nucleotide long non-coding RNA. RefSeq lists it as uncharacterized. The record is from RefSeq and is a predicted model, not a curated record. The transcript is spliced from 4 exons. NCBI's taxonomy places the organism in Eukaryota, Metazoa, Arthropoda, Malacostraca, Decapoda, Nephropidae.